Molecule: unclassified non-coding RNA, 549 nt
Filed under: Hevea brasiliensis (rubber tree)
Lineage: Eukaryota; Viridiplantae; Streptophyta; Magnoliopsida; Malpighiales; Euphorbiaceae
Source: RNAcentral
AAAAAACAUGGACACAAUCCCUUUCAAUGGGUGGUGCUUCAAAAUAUAACAUAACGAAGUUAAAGAAAAUAGAUGAGAGGGGGGAAAGACAACACAAGACAAUGUUUUCCCCCUUUAUAUUAAAAGACAAUGUUUUUUUGUUUAUGUGGUUAAGGCCAAAAGCUUGUCUCUCUCUUCUUCUCUAAUUAAUAAUUAACAUGAGAUAUAUCAGAGCCUGCCAUUCCCUUUUCUUGUGUGUAUCAUGAUUAUCUUUCUUAAACUGUAUAAUGCUGCUGGAUCGUUUCGAUAUCCAGACCUUUCAGCUUCACCACUGAUUCAACAUGACCCUUGAGUGUGUGCAACUCACGAAGCCUUGCCAUCUCUGCUCUUCUCUUUGCUUGUUCAGCAAUUUCAGACAGUUCCCGGUAGCUGUUCUUUUCGUUGAACAGGUUUGAUGCUUCUGGUGGUUGAAGUCCAUGUAAAGUUCUCUGAGCAAGUGCCCAUUGAGCUUCCCUUUCUUCUUUUCCAUAGUCUUUCUUUGUGGUGAAAGCAGUCUUGUUGUCAAGCAAG